RNAcentral lists this small RNA (898 nucleotides) under Pongo abelii (Sumatran orangutan). Its description in RNAcentral is "processed transcript". The record is from RNAcentral. Lineage: Eukaryota; Metazoa; Chordata; Mammalia; Primates; Hominidae.
GGCUGCACGGGUGGUGCGGGCGCUGUGGCCUGGCGGGUGUGCCUUGUCCUGGAGGCUGGGCGGCCGCCCCCAGCCGCUGCUCCCCACGCAAAGCCGGGCUGGCUUCGCGGGGGCGGCGGGCGGCCCGCGCGCCGUGGCUGCAGCUCGUAAGGGGAGCCCGCGGCUGCUGGGGGCGGCGGCGCUGGCCCUGGGGGGAGCCCUGGGGCUGUACCACACGGCGCGGUGGCACCUGCGCGCCCAGGACCUCCACGCAGAGCGCUCAGCCGGGCAGCUCUCCCUGUCCAGCCGCCUGCAGCUGACCCUGUACCAGUACAAGACUUGUCCCUUCUGCAGCAAGGUCCGAGCCUUCCUCGACUUCCACGCCCUGCCCUACCAGGUGGUGGAGGUGAACCCUGUGCGCAGGGCUGAGAUCAAGUUCUCCUCCUACAGAAAGGUGCCCAUCCUGGUGGCCCAGGAAGGAGAAAGCUUGGGACAGCAGAUAUGAAAUGCCUGGCACAGUGCUUGGGGUCUAGUAUGUAGCUUCCAGAACCCACCCUGCCCCUCUACCUGGGAGGCCAAAUGGCAACAACUGAACGACUCCUCUGUCAUCAUCAGUGCCCUCAAGACCUACCUGGUGUCGGGGCAGCCCCUGGAAGAGAUCAUCACCUACUACCCAGCCAUGAAGGCUGUGAACGACCAGGGCAGGGAGGUGACCGAGUUCGGCAAUAAGUACUGGCUCAUGCUCAACGAGAAGGAGGCCCAGCAAGUGUAUGGCGGGAAGGAGGCCAGGACGGAGGAGAUGAAGUGGCGGCAGUGGGCGGACGACUGGCUGGUGCACCUGAUCUCCCCCAAUGUGUACCGCACGCCCACCGAGGCUCUGGCGUCCUUUGACUACAUUGUCCGCGAGGGCAAGUUCGGA